This 497-nucleotide ribosomal RNA is filed under the name uncultured Glomeromycotina. RNAcentral's name for it is "partial small subunit ribosomal RNA". It matches the Rfam family "Eukaryotic small subunit ribosomal RNA", at positions 591 to 1092 of the family's 1831-position model. The record is from RNAcentral. Lineage: Eukaryota; Fungi; Glomeromycota.
CCAAUAGCGUAUAUUAAAGUUGUUGCAGUUAAAAAGCUCGUAGUUGAAUUUCGAGACCGGUUUACUGGUCGUGCUUUUGUACGUACUGGUAUAAUCGGUUUCUCUUUUCUGACGAACUAUAAUGACAUUAAUUUGGUGUUUUAGGGAAUCAGGACUGUUACUUUGAAAAAAUUAGAGUGUUUAAAGCAGGCUCACGCUUGAAUACAUUAGCAUGGAAUAACGAAAUAGGACGUUUGAUUUUAUUUUGUUGGUUUCUAGGAUCGACGUAAUGAUUAAUAGGGAUAGUUGGGGGCAUUAGUAUUAAAUUGUCAGAGGUGAAAUUCUUGGAUUUAUUGAAGACUAACUACUGCGAAAGCAUUUGCCAAGGAUGUUUUCAUUAAUCAAGAGCGAAAGUUAGGGGAUCGAAGACGAUCAGAUACCGUCGUAGUCUUAACCAUAAACUAUGCCGACUAGGGAUCGGAUGAUGUUAAUUUUAAUGACUCAUUCGGCACCUUACG